Molecule: ribosomal RNA, 463 nt
Filed under: Paenibacillus lactis
Lineage: Bacteria; Bacillati; Bacillota; Bacilli; Caryophanales; Paenibacillaceae
Description: bacterial SSU rRNA
Rfam family: Bacterial small subunit ribosomal RNA
Source: RNAcentral
AUGAAGAGCUUGCUUUCCUGAUGCUUAGCGGCGGACGGGUGAGUAACACGUAGGCAACCUGCCCUCAAGACUGGGAUAACUACCGGAAACGGUAGCUAAUACCGGAUAAUUAAAUCUGCUGCAUGGCAGAGUUAUGAAAGGCGGAGCAAUCUGUCACUUGAGGAUGGGCCUGCGGCGCAUUAGCUAGUUGGUGAGGUAACGGCUCACCAAGGCGACGAUGCGUAGCCGACCUGAGAGGGUGAACGGCCACACUGGGACUGAGACACGGCCCAGACUCCUACGGGAGGCAGCAGUAGGGAAUCUUCCGCAAUGGGCGAAAGCCUGACGGAGCAACGCCGCGUGAGUGAUGAAGGUUUUCGGAUCGUAAAGCUCUGUUGCCAGGGAAGAACGUCUCAUAGAGUAACUGCUAUGAGAGUGACGGUACCUGAGAAGAAAGCCCCGGCUAACUACGUGCCAGCAGCGG